Oryza barthii is the source of this 88-nucleotide non-coding RNA. NCBI's taxonomy places the organism in Eukaryota, Viridiplantae, Streptophyta, Magnoliopsida, Poales, Poaceae. The record is from Rfam.
AUGAAUGAUGAAAUAUACUGGGCUCCGAGCAGUGAAUUACGCUGCGUUUUGAUGGAUAUGCGUUUGCCUAGAAAGCAUUGUCUGACAC